UACGGAGGGUGCAAGCGUUGUCCGGAUUUAUUGGGUUUAAAGGGUGCGUAGGCGGGAGAUUAAGUCAGAGGUGAAAGACUGCAGCUCAACUGUAGCAGUGCCUUUGAUACUGAUUUUCUUGAGUACAGAUGAGGCUGGCGGAAUGGGUGGUGUAGCGGUGAAAUGCAUAGAUACCAUCCAGAACACCGAUUGCGAAGGCAGCCGGCUAAACUGUCACUGACGCUGAGGCACGAAAGCGUGGGGAGCGAACAGG
This 253-nucleotide ribosomal RNA is filed under the name uncultured bacterium. Its description in RNAcentral is "partial 16S ribosomal RNA". It matches the Rfam family "Bacterial small subunit ribosomal RNA", at positions 524 to 776 of the family's 1533-position model. The record is from RNAcentral.